Molecule: ribosomal RNA, 1235 nt
Filed under: Escherichia coli
Lineage: Bacteria; Pseudomonadati; Pseudomonadota; Gammaproteobacteria; Enterobacterales; Enterobacteriaceae
Description: partial 23S ribosomal RNA
Rfam family: Bacterial large subunit ribosomal RNA
Source: RNAcentral
GUGCUGAAGCAACAAAUGCCCUGCUUCCAGGAAAAGCCUCUAAGCAUCAGGUAACAUCAAAUCGUACCCCAAACCGACACAGGUGGUCAGGUAGAGAAUACCAAGGCGCUUGAGAGAACUCGGGUGAAGGAACUAGGCAAAAUGGUGCCGUAACUUCGGGAGAAGGCACGCUGAUAUGUAGGUGAAGUCCCUCGCGGAUGGAGCUGAAAUCAGUCGAAGAUACCAGCUGGCUGCAACUGUUUAUUAAAAACACAGCACUGUGCAAACACGAAAGUGGACGUAUACGGUGUGACGCCUGCCCGGUGCCGGAAGGUUAAUUGAUGGGGUUAGCGCAAGCGAAGCUCUUGAUCGAAGCCCCGGUAAACGGCGGCCGUAACUAUAACGGUCCUAAGGUAGCGAAAUUCCUUGUCGGGUAAGUUCCGACCUGCACGAAUGGCGUAAUGAUGGCCAGGCUGUCUCCACCCGAGACUCAGUGAAAUUGAACUCGCUGUGAAGAUGCAGUGUACCCGCGGCAAGACGGAAAGACCCCGUGAACCUUUACUAUAGCUUGACACUGAACAUUGAGCCUUGAUGUGUAGGAUAGGUGGGAGGCUUUGAAGUGUGGACGCCAGUCUGCAUGGAGCCGACCUUGAAAUACCACCCUUUAAUGUUUGAUGUUCUAACGUUGACCCGUAAUCCGGGUUGCGGACAGUGUCUGGUGGGUAGUUUGACUGGGGCGGUCUCCUCCUAAAGAGUAACGGAGGAGCACGAAGGUUGGCUAAUCCUGGUCGGACAUCAGGAGGUUAGUGCAAUGGCAUAAGCCAGCUUGACUGCGAGCGUGACGGCGCGAGCAGGUGCGAAAGCAGGUCAUAGUGAUCCGGUGGUUCUGAAUGGAAGGGCCAUCGCUCAACGGAUAAAAGGUACUCCGGGGAUAACAGGCUGAUACCGCCCAAGAGUUCAUAUCGACGGCGGUGUUUGGCACCUCGAUGUCGGCUCAUCACAUCCUGGGGCUGAAGUAGGUCCCAAGGGUAUGGCUGUUCGCCAUUUAAAGUGGUACGCGAGCUGGGUUUAGAACGUCGUGAGACAGUUCGGUCCCUAUCUGCCGUGGGCGCUGGAGAACUGAGGGGGGCUGCUCCUAGUACGAGAGGACCGGAGUGGACGCAUCACUGGUGUUCGGGUUGUCAUGCCAAUGGCACUGCCCGGUAGCUAAAUGCGGAAGAGAUAAGUGCUGAAAGCAUCUAAGCACGAAACUUGCC